RNAcentral lists this ribosomal RNA (691 nucleotides) under Sphaerellopsis paraphysata. RNAcentral describes it as "partial large subunit ribosomal RNA". It matches the Rfam family "Eukaryotic large subunit ribosomal RNA", at positions 137 to 847 of the family's 3401-position model. The record is from RNAcentral. Lineage: Eukaryota; Fungi; Ascomycota; Dothideomycetes; Pleosporales; Leptosphaeriaceae.
UCCGAGUUGUAAUUUGCAGAGGGCGCUUUGGUGUUGGCAGCGCUCCAAGUUCCUUGGAACAGGACGUCACAGAGGGUGAGAAUCCCGUACGUGGUCGCUAGCCUCCGCCGUGUAAAGCCCCUUCGACGAGUCGAGUUGUUUGGGAAUGCAGCUCUAAAUGGGAGGUAAAUUUCUUCUAAAGCUAAAUACUGGCCAGAGACCGAUAGCGCACAAGUAGAGUGAUCGAAAGAUGAAAAGCACUUUGGAAAGAGAGUCAAAUAGCACGUGAAAUUGUUGAAAGGGAAGCGCUUGCAGCCAGACUUGCCUGUAGUUGCUCAUCUGGGCUUUUGCCCGGUGCAUUCUUCUGCAGGCAGGCCAGCAUCAGUUUGGGCGGUUGGAUAAAGGUCUCUGUCAUGUACCUCUCUUCGGGGAGGCCUUAUAGGGGAGACGUCAUGCAACCAGCCUGGACUGAGGUCCGCGCAUUUGCUAGGAUGCUGGCGUAAUGGCUGUAAGCGGCCCGUCUUGAAACACGGACCAAGGAGUCUAACAUCUAUGCGAGUGUUUGGGUGUCAAGCCCGAGCGCGUAAUGAAAGUGAACGGAGGUGGGAACCCUUUGGGUGCACCAUCGACCGAUCCUGAUGUCUUCGGAAGGAUUUGAGUAAGAGCAUGGCUGUUGGGACCCGAAAGAUGGUGAACUAUGCUUGAAUAGGGU